Molecule: small RNA, 410 nt
Filed under: Arabidopsis thaliana (thale cress)
Lineage: Eukaryota; Viridiplantae; Streptophyta; Magnoliopsida; Brassicales; Brassicaceae
Description: ATSL135200
Source: RNAcentral
CUCAAAAUAUUUGUAUGACUUUGAACUGUUAUUCACUUGAUCUAUUAAAACGGACACAUAUGUUUUCACUAUAAUACACAAUUCAUAAGUCUUCAACAUUACUUAAAAAUCGUCUUUCAUAACUUUACUUAAUAUUGUUUUUGGAAACUUUUUUUGUGUGAUGUUUUUUACUUUAAUAAUCGAUUGAUUUGUUUAGUUUAUAAGAAUGUUUUUUGUGAUGUUUUAAGUUUUCAAAAACAACAUGGAAGACAGGAAUACUAACUUUAUAGUGAAUUCGGUGUUGGUCCCGACCCCUUCACCAUGGUCAUGUUCAAACCGGAUUUUGCAAGACUAGAUAUGGAUACUAAUAUUGAUAAUGACACAAUUUCUCUAAUGAUCUACAUCCUCGUGGAAAUCUUGUUUUUUAAAAU